CUGCGGGAGAGGAAGGCGUGAGCGGCGCGCGGAGCCCGGGCGCUGGGGCGGGAGGGGCGUCCCCGGGGGCCUCAGCUGUCCCCGAGCCCGGCGGCUCUCGCCUCCCCUCCCGCGGCGCACCCCAGGCUCGGCGUCCGCUGGGGCCUCCUCCCAGGACCCGGGUUCGCGGGGCAGAGGCGGAAGCAGCAACAGCGAAGCCCCAGCCCGGCCCCGCCACGUCCCCCCGCCGGGGGUCCCGGGACAGCGGCCUCCUCGGCGCAGGAAGGUCCCGCCCCAGGCCCUGCAGCGCGGGAGGUCAAGGUCCCCAAGGGGACCUGCUUCCUCCAUCUCAAACCGCCCUGGCGUCCCCCGGGUGCCUCCCAGGCCCCCAGAGGGAGCUCAGAAAGCCCAGACCCCACGGCCCGCCCCUCUCCCUGCUCUGAGCUGGAGGCAGAGUCCGGGUCUGCGGGGCCGGCCCUCCCUGUAUCCCUGUGAGAGGGUCGGGGACCCGGGGCGUCUGUCUGGCUUCCCCCAGCCCUGCUCUCAGCUCCCUGGGAGCGCAGGAUUUGGACUCGCGGACUAGCUUUCGGAGCCACCUAAAGGAAAUCUCAGGCGGCCCUAGUGCCCUCAGCUCCGUGGGAGCAGCAGAGACGCCAGAGUAUCUCUGUCCGGGCUCCUGAGGGAGGUGCGGCCAGCAGGGCGCUAGAGGAGGAAGAGGGGCUGCUGGAGAGAGAGAGCGCGCCAGGUUCAGGUCCAGGGAGGAGAGAGAGCGAGCGCGCGAGGCGGAGACCUGGAGGGAGAGGAGCUGCGGAGAGGGGUUAGGCGGGGAGGGAGAGAGAGAACCAGGUUCAGGUCCAGGGAGGAGAGAGACAGCGCGCGCGAGGCGGAGACCUGGAGGGAGAGGAGCUGCGGAGAGGGGUUAGGCGGGGAGGGAGAGAGAGAACCAGGUUCAGGUCCAGGGAGGAGAGAGACAGCGCGCGCGAGGCGGAGACCUGGAGGAGAGGAGCUGCGGAGAGGGGUUAGGCGGGGAGAGAGAGAGAGCGAGCCAGGUUCAGGUCCAGGGAGGAGAGAGACAGCGCGCGCGAGGCGGAGACCUGGAGGGAGAGGAGCUGCGGAGAGGGGUUAGGCGGGGAGAGAGAGAGCGAGCCAGGUUCAGGUCCAGGGAGGAGAGAGACAGCGCGCGCGAGGCGGAGACCUGGAGGGAGAGGAGCUGCGGAGAGGGGUUAGGCGGGGAGGGAGAGAGACAGCGCGCGCGAGGCGGAGACCUGGAGGGAGAGGAGCUGCGGAGAGGGGUUAGGCGGCGGGAGGCCCGGGAGCGUUA
This 1300-nucleotide long non-coding RNA is filed under the name Homo sapiens (human). RNAcentral describes it as "HSALNT0324638". Lineage: Eukaryota; Metazoa; Chordata; Mammalia; Primates; Hominidae. The record is from RNAcentral.